GUUAUGGCUCAGUGGUAGAGAGCUCGCCUAGCACGUGUGAGGCCCUGGGUUCGAUCCUCAGCAUCACA
Molecule: transfer RNA, 68 nt
Filed under: Marmota monax (woodchuck)
Lineage: Eukaryota; Metazoa; Chordata; Mammalia; Rodentia; Sciuridae
Description: tRNA.Ala
Source: RNAcentral